RNA transcript from Lolium rigidum, 785 nucleotides. RefSeq lists it as uncharacterized. Lineage: Eukaryota; Viridiplantae; Streptophyta; Magnoliopsida; Poales; Poaceae. The record is from RefSeq and is a predicted model, not a curated record. The transcript is spliced from 3 exons.
GUGAAUCAGACAUAUCCAACUUUCUCAUCACUUGCAAGUUGUUGAAGGAUCUACAUUUGUUCAAUUGUGACUGAUAAUCUCAGCACAUUGCAAGUUGAGCACACUCAUCUCACUGAACUCAGUAUGGUUGGUUAUCUUUUUGAACAAGUUAAGCUAAACUGGCUCCCUCAACUCACGCAAAUGGUCUUUGAUGAUUGGAUUGAUUUCCAAGAUCCACUGGUUCUUGGUCAUGUCCCAUUGCUCAAGGCUUUAAGCCUCACAUAUGUUACAUGUAGUUUUCACAAGAUGGUCAAGUUAAGUGAGUUUCCUAGCCAUACCUCUAUACUAGAUCUGAAGCUGGGAUUUAAAUCCAAAAAGGUUCAACAUUGUCGCUUUGCUAGCCAUGGCUUCAGCUCUUCUCUCAGUUCUCUGCUCAUUUCAUCAGCAUGUCUUUAUCCGUUGCAGAUUUGGGUGCAGCCAGAAUGUCCAAUGGAAAUUCUUGCAUCCUUCCGCCAACUAUAAGGUGCACUUCAGGAGCGUGUGUCAUGCACGACGAUAUUAGAUCAUCUGCAGCUUCCAAACUCGACAUUACAAAAGACCAGCGUACCGAUUGCUGAGAACCUCGCGGUGUUCCGAGCAAUCAAGUACAUGCAAUAUUUGCAAAAAAAACACUAAAGGGAUGUCAGCUUUUGGUGAUGCAAGUAGCAGCUAUUAGGUGUUCAUUUUCUGUUCGGGUGUCGUGUCCUCAAAAUACAAUGUCCUUUCUUGAUUGGCCUACAUAUGAAGUAGGUUCCUGUUGCAAACAA